CCUACGGGUGGCAGCAGUGAGGAAUAUUGGUCAAUGGCCGGAAGGCUGAACCAGCCAAGCCGCGUGAGGGAGGAAGGCGCAGAGCGUCGCAGACCUCUUUUACCGGGGGACAAAGUGCCGGACGGGUCCGGUUCUGAAUGUACCCGGAGAAAAAGCAUCGGCUAACUCCGUGCCAGCAGCCGCGGUAAUACGGAGGAUGCGAGCGUUAUCCGGAUUCAUUGGGUUUAAAGGGUGCGCAGGCGGGCCUUUAAGCCGGCGGUGAAAUCGCGGGGCUCAACCCCGCCAAGCCGUCGGAACUGGGGGCCUUGAGUGCGGCGGAGGCAUGCGGAAUGCGUGGUGUAGCGGUGAAAUGCAUAGAUAUCGCGCAGAACCCCGAUUGCGAAGGCAGCGUGCUGUGCCGCCACUGACGCUGAGGCACGAAAGCGCGGGGAUCGAACAGGAUUAGAUACCCGUGUAGUC
This 459-nucleotide ribosomal RNA is filed under the name uncultured bacterium. RNAcentral's name for it is "partial 16S ribosomal RNA". It matches the Rfam family "Bacterial small subunit ribosomal RNA", at positions 338 to 795 of the family's 1533-position model. The record is from RNAcentral.